Molecule: non-coding RNA, 2015 nt
Organism: Lolium perenne
Lineage: Eukaryota; Viridiplantae; Streptophyta; Magnoliopsida; Poales; Poaceae
Source: RefSeq, a predicted model, not a curated record
GCCCUUGACCCAUACUUUCUCUCCCUCGAUCCAAUCUCGCCUCCACCGCCGCCGCCUCUAACCUCCUCGGCCAUGCCAGCGACGGGCCUCCGAAUCUCAGGCGCCUCUCCUCUGUGUCCCCUCCUCCUAGCAGCCGGGAAGCACCCCACGUGAGGGAUGCACGGGAGCAUAUGUGCCUGGUGGCCGGCUGCCAUGCUUUCGGUCGCUCCCGUGUCCGCGCCCACCAUGGCGAGCAGCCGAGGGCAUAACAAGUGAGCCAAGACGAGGAUACGCGGCGAUGCUCCGGGCAUGGACAAUGGGGACGACCAGGGCAGCGCGACGGUGGCGCUGAGUGUCGGCCGUGCCCGGCGGGUGCCAUCACGCAUUGCAGCAUCGAUGCUUGUACACAUCCCGUCCCUAAGCUCUAUCCCUGCGCGCUAAGUCAUCCGCAACAGGUGUGGAAUCAUGCUCGGGAACGAGGUGUCCCAAGUUUGUCCUUCGGCGACCAGGUGAUCUUUCUGCAAUUUUUUGUGGCCUCCGACCGUGAGGAUGAAGAGUACCUCUGCACACUUGAGCUCGGCCAGAGAACCUCAACGGAGGAGAUACGUUUCUAUCCAUUCUUCUUGAUUCCUCCCUUCUCGCUUGUAAAGUUUAUCCACUCACAUCUCUAUUUUGUCUUUCUCAGAUCAACCCACCAUAGUUAGCAAGGAGAGGUUGAGCAAGCAACCUCCAUUAAUGGCCAGCGGAGCAAGAGCACAAGAAGCAUCAAGCGGCGGAUGGGACCACCAGGCCACUCUCAUCUGGCGUGCGCGCAUGGGUGCCAGCAUCUGCUGGCAUCACGAUUUUAGGCUGCCUCUCUGAUGAGCAGCGGUGGCGUCGAUGCCACCAGCUUGCGGUGCUUGGCUUCCUCGAGUCAAGGUAUGGAGCAAUAUUGUCGGCGGCGCCUUCACGUGUCUUUGCUGGAAACCUAGCCAUCGACAUCAUCAGCUGGCUAUGGCGGGCAGAGGCAGUGGCGGGAGCAACGGUGUCGGACGCCAUUGUCAGUGAUGAAGAUUAAUUAAGCUCAUGACCUGCUUCUAUCGGGCGCCUUAAUUAAUGUUUUGUAGCUGAAUGCCUGUAGAUUGGUAUCUUUUUAAAUUGAAUGCUUGCUUACUGUGACUGCAAGGACAUGAUGGAAUUUAUUUCAUAAAGGGAAGUAAGUUGCUCUGUUUUUUCAGAUUUUUUCUUGAGCAUUGGAACAAGCUACAUCUUGAAAAGUUAAAGAUACAAAAUGUACUAAAGUGGGUAUCGUGCACAAUCAGUACGGAGCUGCUGUUAUGCAUACAUCAGAGUUUCAUUAAUAUAUCUGGGCAUGGCGCCUUAUAUGAACUUCUCUUCAAAAGUUCUUUGAGAAUUUGCUCAACGAGUGGAAGCAGGAGCUGGAUGAUAUGACGGAGCUGGAGAAGCAGAAGGCAAACAGGGAAUCCAUGUUUGCAACGCUCAAGUAGUGUCACCGUAUUUCAGUUUCAUGUUCAAGUUGUUUAGGAAGAAGGUGAGAAUCUUUCAGUUUUUUUCAGCCAGUCUAUGUGUGUUAUUAUUCUCAUAUAAUUUCAGAUUCAGAAAAGGACAAAUAAAAGAAAGAAUGGGUAAAUUUGGAUUUGAAAUGAUUCUUCUGAUGUCAUGUUAACCAUUGGGAGCUGCAAGAAGACAUGAUGAUAUCCUUCUAAAUUGAAGUUGAAUGUUUGUUACAGAACCCGUGAAAUCAAAAUUUAAUUGCUAGGAAUUGAUAUAAUUGAGAUAACAAACUCAGAUGGUCAGUUGUGUGCAAAGUUUUAGCUAUGUGUGCGGAGUACUGCAGUUCAGCUUUGGGAAGUUAUUUUGGAAGAGCAUGAUCAUGGACAUGGAUGAAUGGUUCCCUGGAGAAUCUAAGCUAUCUCCCUAUGGUCGCUGUUAACUGACCUCAAUUUGUUUUAUCUGGGGCUGUGCUGGGAAAGAGGGAUAAAUUAUGUAACAAUAGAUUAUCUUAUUAAUAUUAUUAUUCAAAAAGGAAGGUAUCA